Molecule: microRNA precursor, 74 nt
Filed under: Myotis brandtii (Brandt's bat)
Lineage: Eukaryota; Metazoa; Chordata; Mammalia; Chiroptera; Vespertilionidae
Description: mir-9193 microRNA precursor family
Rfam family: mir-9193 microRNA precursor family
Source: Rfam by way of RNAcentral
GGUGGGGGGAAAUGCUCCCUCAGCCUGGAUUGUGAGAGGGUGCAGGCCAAGCUGAGGGACCCCACUGAUGCACA